UUGGACUGAAGGGAGCUCCC
RNAcentral lists this non-coding RNA (20 nucleotides) under Picea abies (Norway spruce). Its record names the gene pab-miR319a. Lineage: Eukaryota; Viridiplantae; Streptophyta; Pinopsida; Pinales; Pinaceae. RNAcentral also lists the same sequence under 13 other names. The record is from miRBase by way of RNAcentral.